GUGGGACUCUAGGAGGGUGGUAGGACGGGUGGUUGCAAUGACACGAGUAUAAUGCAAUUGUUUCUAGUGAUGUUGCUGUUGGUAGGGUGCGUCCCAACAGUUUGGGUAUGUCUAGAUGGUCCCCUCACCGCCACGGCGAAGUUGGAUGUUGAUGCUGGAAUAUUGGGUGAUGGGAAGAUUAGUUUUUGGGUUCUUUUUAAAAAUGAUAAAGAGGAGGUUGUUUGUGCUCCAAAGUGUGUCAUUGUUACAUGGCCCAGAGGUGGGCUGAAGCUUAUUCUUUGGCAUAUGAACUGCAACUGGCUUCAGAUUUGUGUUUUGUCUAUUAUUGCCGAGUCUAAUUGUUAGGUUAAUAUCUGUAAGCUGCCGAGUGGAGAGAAUUUGGAGAAUGCUUUGGGAAUGGCCUUGGCUAACCGCUGGUAUUUUGGUGGUCAGUUAUCUUCUUAUGUUUGGUCUUUCAUUCCAGGAGAUGGUAAUAGGUGCACAUGCUUUAACAAGUAUUGUAUAGGUGAUGUCUCUGAAUUUGCUUGGAUUGAGGAAGCACCUGAUA
This 547-nucleotide unclassified non-coding RNA is filed under the name Hevea brasiliensis (rubber tree). Lineage: Eukaryota; Viridiplantae; Streptophyta; Magnoliopsida; Malpighiales; Euphorbiaceae. The record is from RNAcentral.